GGGUUGUGAGGUUAAGCGACUAAGCGUACACGGUGGAUGCCCUGGCAGUCAGAGGCGAUGAAGGACGUGCUAAUCUGCGAUAAGCGCCGGUAAGGUGAUAUGAACCGUUAUAACCGGCGAUUUCCGAAUGGGGAAACCCAGUGUGACUCGUCACACUAUCAUUAACUGAAUCCAUAGGUUAAUGAGGCGAACCGGGGGAACUGAAACAUCUAAGUACCCCGAGGAAAAGAAAUCAACCGAGAUUCCCCCAGUAGCGGCGAGCGAACGGGGAGGAGCCCAGAGCCUGAAUCAGCAUGUGUGUUAGUGGAAGCGU
This 313-nucleotide ribosomal RNA is filed under the name Salmonella enterica. RNAcentral describes it as "bacterial LSU rRNA". It matches the Rfam family "Bacterial large subunit ribosomal RNA", at positions 1 to 310 of the family's 2925-position model. RNAcentral also lists the same sequence under 1 other name. Lineage: Bacteria; Pseudomonadati; Pseudomonadota; Gammaproteobacteria; Enterobacterales; Enterobacteriaceae. The record is from RNAcentral.